UACGUAGGUGGCAAGCGUUGUCCGGGAUUAUUGGGCGUAAAGGGCUCGUAGGCGGUUUGUCGCGUCGGGAGUGAAAACCAGGUGCUUAACACUUGGCUUGCUUUCGAUACGGGCAGGCUGGGGGUAUGCAGGGGAGAACGGAAUUCCUGGUGUAGCGGUGAAAUGCGCAGAUAUCAGGAAGAACACCGGUGGCGAAGGCGGUUCUCUGGGCAUUACCUGACGCUGAGGAGCGAAAGUGUGGGGAGCGAACAGG
RNAcentral lists this unclassified non-coding RNA (253 nucleotides) under uncultured Nocardioidaceae bacterium. RNAcentral describes it as "contains 16S-23S intergenic spacer region". It matches the Rfam family "Bacterial small subunit ribosomal RNA", at positions 524 to 776 of the family's 1533-position model. The record is from RNAcentral. Lineage: Bacteria; Bacillati; Actinomycetota; Actinomycetes; Propionibacteriales; Nocardioidaceae.